RNAcentral lists this ribosomal RNA (470 nucleotides) under Cynodonichthys chucunaque. Its description in RNAcentral is "partial 16S ribosomal RNA". It matches the Rfam family "Bacterial large subunit ribosomal RNA", at positions 1926 to 2551 of the family's 2925-position model. The record is from RNAcentral. Lineage: Eukaryota; Metazoa; Chordata; Actinopteri; Cyprinodontiformes; Rivulidae.
AACGGCCGCGGUAUCUUGACCGUGUGAAGGUAGCGUAAUCAUUUGUCUUUUAAAUGAAGACCUGUAUGAAUGGCGUAACGAAAGCUUAACUGUCUCACUCUCUCAGUCAAUGAAAUUGAUCUCCCCGUGCAGAAGCGGGGAUAUAAACAUAAGACGAAAAGACCCUAUGGAGCUUUAGAAUACGAAGCAGCCCCACAAAUUAGUUAAAAUAUCUUAAUAGACCCUGCUUCUCAUUUCUUCGGUUGGGGCGACCACGGAGAAAAACAUAGCCUCCACGAGGGAAACACCCACAUUUCUUAAAAUUAAGAAACACAACUCCAAAUUUCAGAAUAUCUGCCCACUAAACGAUCCGGUGCACCAUAAACCGAUCAACGAAACAAGUUACCCUAGGGAUAACAGCGCAAUCCCUUUUUAGAGCCCACAUCGACAAGGGGGUUUACGACCUCGAUGUUGGAUCAGGACAUCCUAAU